GUAGUUUUGUGCUGAUAUAUUGGUGGAGUUGGUAUGGUAUUAUUUUGAUUUGGCUGGUUAAUGGGAUUUAGUAUUUGUGAAGGGAUUGUUGAGAUGACCCAUAAUUAUAUAGUUUCUUUUUAUAUCUUUUAUUUACAACAAUAGGUUGGGGUGGUGAAAUUGCUGGUGGGUUUGUGAGCUUUUGGUAUCUUAAGGAAAUGUUUCCUGGGUUAAUUUUGGUAUUGAAGUUAUGGGUUUUGUUCUGUAUCUCAGGGUUAGGAAUUCUGAGGAUCUUGAUAUAUAGGACACUCUAGUUUAUGACGUGAUUAAGUAGCCAAAUUUGUUUU
Molecule: unclassified non-coding RNA, 326 nt
Filed under: Hevea brasiliensis (rubber tree)
Lineage: Eukaryota; Viridiplantae; Streptophyta; Magnoliopsida; Malpighiales; Euphorbiaceae
Source: RNAcentral